UACGUAGGGUGCAAGCGUUGUCCGGAAUUAUUGGGCGUAAAGAGCUCGUAGGCGGUUCGGUAAGUCGGGUGUGAAAACUCUGGGCUCAACCCAGAGCCGCCACCCGAUACUGCUGUGACUUGAGUGCGGUAGGGGAGCGGGGAAUUCCUGGUGUAGCGGUGAAAUGCGCAGAUAUCAGGAGGAACACCAGUGGCGAAGGCGCCGCUCUGGGCCGUGACUGACGCUGAGGAGCGAAAGCGUGGGUAGCAAACAGG
This 254-nucleotide ribosomal RNA is filed under the name uncultured bacterium. RNAcentral's name for it is "partial 16S ribosomal RNA". It matches the Rfam family "Bacterial small subunit ribosomal RNA", at positions 524 to 776 of the family's 1533-position model. The record is from RNAcentral.